RNAcentral lists this ribosomal RNA (406 nucleotides) under uncultured bacterium. RNAcentral describes it as "partial 16S ribosomal RNA". It matches the Rfam family "Bacterial small subunit ribosomal RNA", at positions 30 to 526 of the family's 1533-position model. The record is from RNAcentral.
AUUGAACGCUGGCGGCAGGCCUAACACAUGCAAGUCGAGCGAGCGGCGGACGGGUGAGUAAUGUCUGAGAAACUCCCUGGUGGAGGGGGAUAAAUACUGGAAACGGUAGCUAAUACCGCAUACCAUCAGAUGUGCCCAGAUUGGAUUAGCUAGUAGGUGGGGUAACGGCUCACCUAGGCGACGAUCCCUAGCUGGUCUGAGAGGAUGACCAGCCACACUGGAACUGUGACACGGUCCAGACUCCUACGGGAGGCAGCAGUGGGGAAUAUUGGACAAUGGGCGAAAGCCUGAUCCAGCCAUGCCGCGUGUAUGAAGAAGGCCUUCGGGUUGUAAAGUACUUUCAGCGGGGAGGCGUUACCCGCAGAAGAAGCACCGGCUAACUCCGUGCCAGCAGCCGCGGUAAUUC